UAGGGAAUCUUCGGCAAUGGACGAAAGUCUGACCGAGCAACGCCGCGUGAGUGAAGAAGGUUUUCGGAUCGUAAAACUCUGUUGUUAGAGAAGAACAAGGACGUUAGUAACUGAACGUCCCCUGACGGUAUCUAACCAGAAAGCCACGGCUAACUACUUGCCAGCAGCCGCGGUAAUACGUAGGUGGCAAGCGUUGUCCGGAUUUAUUGGGCGUAAAGCGAGCGCAGGCGGUUUCUUAAGUCUGAUGUGAAAGCCCCCGGCUCAACCGGGGAGGGUCAUUUGAAACUGGGAGGCUUGAGUGCAGAAGAGGAGAGUGGAAUUCCAUGUGUAGCGGUGAAAUGCGUAGAUAUAUGGAGGAACACCAGUGGCGAAGGCGGCUCUCUGGUCUGUAACUGACGCUGAGGCUCGAAAGCGUGGGGAGCAAACAGG
RNAcentral lists this ribosomal RNA (429 nucleotides) under Chloroflexota bacterium. RNAcentral describes it as "Chloroflexi bacterium partial 16S ribosomal RNA". It matches the Rfam family "Bacterial small subunit ribosomal RNA", at positions 355 to 776 of the family's 1533-position model. Lineage: Bacteria; Bacillati; Chloroflexota. The record is from RNAcentral.